Molecule: long non-coding RNA, 40547 nt
Filed under: Gossypium barbadense (sea-island cotton)
Lineage: Eukaryota; Viridiplantae; Streptophyta; Magnoliopsida; Malvales; Malvaceae
Description: long non-coding RNA (GBAR_LNC020333)
Source: RNAcentral
AUCUUCUCAAUCACACCAUUGUCCUUUUCGUUUGGUGUGGCCAACACUACAAACGCUCCUGUGCUCGACAGUGAUGGCAACGAGCUCCGCACAGGCACCCCAUACUUCGUUGUGUCGUCGAUAUGGGGUGCUGGUGGUGGGGGGCUUGCCCUAGGCAUGCCUAGAGGAAAGCCAUGCCCGGAAGUCGUUGCUCAAAGAGGAUCCGGUGACGAUGGUAUUCCGGUGAUAUUUUCUAAUUCGGACUCCAACGAUGGCGUUGUUCGCCUAUCCUCUGACAUAAACAUAGAGUUCAUUCCCCUCAGACCCAGAUUUUGCCAAACAACAACGGUGUGGAAGGUCGAUGAUUACGACCACUCAGCCGGAAAAUGGUGGGUGAUAACCGAUGGGGUUAAAGGGAACCCAGGUGCCAACACUUUGACCAGUUGGUUUAGAAUAGAGAAGGCGGGUGAUCUUGAUUACCCAUUUAAGUACUGCCCCGCUGUAUGUGGAACAUGCCCAGCCUUAUGCAACAAAAUUACGAGAGACUCAGAUGGAGAAAUGAUACGUUUGGCUCUCUCCGCUGGCCAUGGAUGGCCAUUUUUCUUUAAGAAAUUUCAAACAUCAGCCAUGGAGAUUGAACAAGUUGUUCAUAAUUAGAUUGAAAGCAAUCAUUAUGCAUGAACUAGUAGUUACUAUACAAUAUUAGCUUCAAGUAAAUAAUGCUGGGAGAACUGAUUGUUAAGAUUGCCUUGUUUGAAGCAGCAGCAUGUAUAUAUAUAUGCUUGCUUACAAGGUUUGUCUCUCAGAGUCCUUCUCUUUGUACUCUUUUCAGCUUAAUAUAUAAACUGUCUACUUAUUUACUUCUUUUAUUGCCAUUGAUUCUAGUAGUAUUAGACUCAUUAACUUGGAUACAUUGUCUUGUAAGAGAUAGCUUAUCUCUUAACAACUGUUUGGGUCAACAAAAUUAAUGUAUAUAUGAAAACGAAUAUUGAAUUUGGAUGUCCAAUCAAUUUUUUUAAUUAAUUAAUUAAAAAGAAUUGUUUUAAUUCAAAAAAUCUAAAAGAAUUUGAUAAAAAAUGUGGAAGGGCACACUUGUAUGAUGAAUAGUAGUGAUAAUAAUGAUAGAAGUCGUUUUCCUAGCACAAGUAUGGGAUUCGUCCAUUUGGUUUUAUAUUUAUCCACUUGCCUGAGUGUUUAAGAGUUAAAAAGGACAAAACUAUUAAGUAGAAAACACCAAACGAAUUGGAAGGCUUUUGUCUUCUUCAAUUAGUAUGACCUAUAUUUCUUAUUAAACUUCGUAUUUUACAUUCAAUAUCAUCAUCGCAAUCAUUUUAAUUUAUUUUCAUGAAUAAACUUUUAUGUCCCAUUUUAAUUGAAUCAUUAAAAAUUAUUAAUUGAAUUUUUUUUAAGUCAAGUGAUACUAAUUUGAUUUUUUUAAAAAAGUUGUUUGAAUUAAUUUGAUUUCGUGUCAUAAUUGACAUAAAUGGCCAUUGUGAAUGGCAACAUCAAUAGUUAUUGAGUACAGCGGCUAAAAUUUUCAGUUAAAAAAAAAAGAAUGAAAGGAAAACAAAAAGAAAAACGUGGAAAGAAAGAAAGAAAGAAAGAAUAAUAAUAAUAAUAAUAAUAAUAAAUAAAAUAGAAUUGUGGGGGCGAUGCUUUUGAACAAAUCUUGAUUUAAACUAUAUAAAGAAAAUAUGUGUUAUAUAUAUAAUUAAUUAUGUACUUAUACUUAAUAUAUUAUAUAUCUAAUGUCAUAUUUUCAUAUUCUCAGGAAGUGGUGACAUACAAAUACUUGAUUCGAUUUAUUUCUUUAGCUCCCCGUGAAUUGUAUGUUUGUAACAUUAGGGAUAGAAUUUCUUCAAUUAUCCAAUUGACUGGACGUAUUGUGUCGAUUUUUUUUUAGUAAUAUACCUAGAAAUACCCGUUGAUUCUUUAUAAACGCUGUUUCGAACACAACUGGUACACUCUAAAAUAAUUUACUUGAACAUCAUUACUCUUAGCCAUGAACCUCCUUUGAGUUUUUAAUUCACCCAACUUUUUUAUUUUCCGAUCAAAAGCAAAGAAGAAAGGAAUGAAAAGAAAAGAAAGAAAUCAAAGUUGCUAACUCAAAACCAAAUCCUGAAAAUUUUCAUUUCAAUGAAUAUAGUAAGUAAAUAUAGAUUUAUAGUAAUAGCAAAUAAUAAGAAUUAAGUAAUAUAACGAUUUUUAAUUCUAUUUAGAAUCAAUUAAAAUAUUCAAAUAAAUAUUCAAUUAAAAUAAAUUAAACUGUAUAAAUUUUAUAAUUUUAAAUUAUUAUUUUUGUAUUAAUUUAAAAACAAAAUAAAUAUUAUAUACAAUGAUUUAGUUACAGCGUGUCAGCUUGAAGUCUAAGACUUUAUAACAUAUAAAUUUAAUAGAUAAUUAAUAACUAAAAAAUUAAAUAGCAAAAGCAUAAUUGCGCCACUUCUCACCAUUUUAAUGUAUGCAACUUAUUAUAUAUUUAUAUAUAUUAUCAUUUUAUUUUAAAUAAUUUAAUUUUAUAAAUUUAGGGAUAAAUCUCAAAAUUAUACAUGAACUUUAAUUUAAUAUGCAAUUGUAUAUAUAAACUUUAAUUUGGUACAAUUAUACACGUGAUACUUUAAUUGUGGUUUAAAUACUCACUUGAAACUUUAGUUUUGAUUUAAUAAUGCAUAUUUAAAUAAAUAAAUACAUCAAUUUUUUUAUAUUGGGUAAAUAUAAUUAUUUAUGUAUGCAAUAUAUAACAUAAAAUGAUGUUAUAUCAAUAAUUGUGUUAAUAAUUUUCAAGAAUUGGAUCAAAUCAAAAUUUCAUGUAUAAAAUUGAACAAAAUCAAAGUUAAUGUAUACAAUUGCACAUUAAACCAUAAUUCAUGUAUAUUUUUUUGUAUAUAUCCCAUAAAUUUAUUUCAUUAACUUUUUACCUAUAUCAUAUAUAGAGUUGUUCGUGAACCGAGCCAAGGAAUGCCUGCUCGAAAAAAUGAGAGGGUUUGGCAAAAAAAUAUAUGCCUAAAAAAUGGGCUUGGAUAAAAAGACAAGGCCCGUUUAGAAAAUGAACCGGCAUUGAGUAGGGUUUUUUUGUCCGGGCUCAGCCUAACCCGAAUUUUCAAUUAAAAAAAACCUUGUUGUUUUUGCUGCUAUUUUUCCAUAUCUUGGUGUUGUUUUCUCACUUUUUGCCGCUAUUUUACUACCAUUUCACUAUUAUGUUACUACUAUUUUUUUUAAUGUUUGGAUAUAGUAUAAUAAUUGUUUUAUUGUUAAUUUUAUCACUAUUUUAGAGACAUUUGUUUGUUAUGUUGUACUUAUUUUAGUUUUUAUUUAAGUAUAAAAAAAUUUAAAAUUUAUUUUCAAUUUAUUGAUAAACAUGUAAUUUAAUAUUUUCAGUGUAUUUAUUGUAUUAUAUUUGUUAAAUUUAUAUAAAAUUAAAAUUAAAAAAAUAUGGACCGAGAUGGGAGUUUAACAAAAAUUUAGGCCCAUUUUUCAAGUCGGGCCGAUCUCAAACCUAACAAUCGGACUUAAAAUUUUGUUAGAGCUCGGCCCAUCCCAUGAACAACUCUAAUUAUAUAUAUAUGUCAUUCUCUAAUAAUAAUAAUAAUAAUAAUAAUAAUAAGUGGAUAACAUAAAACUAGUAGUAAAGAGUAAGAAGACAAAGAAGAAUUAAGUGGAUAACAUAAAACGUGCGAAAACAUUUAUCUUCAAUUCUGACACAUAAAGCUAGUAUUUUUGGGUAAAGUAUAGAAAUGGUGAUUAAAUUAUUGUUGAUGUUCUAUUUUAAUUUUUAAUUUUUCUAUUUUAGUUAUUAAAUUAUUUGAAAUUAAAUUUUUUGGUUAUCAAAGGUUAACAGUAGUUUGAAAUUUAACAGAAAUAUUGAUGUGAACUUUUCUUAUUGAUUUAAUAAUAAAUUUAGCCUUCUAAUAUUUAUAUAUUCUAUUAAUUUGAUACUAAAUAUAAAAAUUUAACAAAUUUAACCUUCAAUAUUUACAAAUUUUGUUAUUUUAAUUCAAAUUCUAAAAAAAAUUUAAUAAAUUUAACCCUCAACAUUAAAAAAUUUGAUAAAUUUCAAUUUUUAAAAUUUUGUAAAUUCCUAAAAUAUAAAGCAUCAUUCUCCACCUCAUAGGAUUCCAUGUAAAUGGAUUUUCUUGAAUUCUUUACCAAGUUGUCUUGAGUUUAAUUUCUUCUUAUUUAGUUUGUGGAAUAAAUGGCAUAUAGUUAGAUGUCACUGCAGCUGACAAUGAAAGGUUUGACAAAGUUGAUAAAUUCAGAGCUUUUGAUGCUGAGCUUCAAAUCAGUCUUGCCUCCACUCACCCAAGAAAUCAACUUUACAAUUUUUAUUAAGUCUUAACUAGAUUAAUAUGAGUAUUGUUAUCAAUAUAGGAGAAAGUGAAUUUUAGUGCGUUGAAACACAUUAUCUUCUUAUUGAUGAAUUGAGGAGGGGCUAUGAAUAGUUUUAAAUAUUAUAUUAAAAAAGCAGAGAUAAUUGAAACCUACAAUAAUAUUGUUCAAAAAAAUUACCUAAAAACACGAAAUCUUACUCCCUGAAUUUUCUAGAAACACAAAUAUUUCUCCCUGCCUUUGAUGGUGUAUACAUGCAUGGCCAUGUGUGAGCUCCUGCAUUUUAACUAAUCAACACAGAUAAUACCCUCAAUGAGACAUUAAAAUUAACUUUUAUUUUUGUUUUUUCAUAAAUUUUAUAAUUUUGUAUUUCAAUGAAAAAAUCUAAAUCUAAGUUGAUCCGAGUCCAAAAAAAAAUCUGAAGCUGUAAAAAGUUUGAUCUGAGGCUGCUCAUUUGCCACCUCUAAUAACCAUUUGAUAGAGGUUUAAUAUAAAGGAAUUUAGAUUUUAGGAAUUUAUAAAAUUUUUAAAAUUAAUUUUUUAUUUGUAAAUACUAAGGGAUAAAUCUAUUGAAGUUUUUAAAAUUUGAACUGAAAUGUCAAAAUUUGUAAACAUUGAAGGCUAAAUUUGUUUAUUUUUUCUAUUUAAGACCAAUCUGAUAGAAUGUGUACACAUUAGAAGACUAAAUUUAUUAUUAGACCAAUAAAAAAAUGCCCAACUUAACGCUUUCUCAAAUUUCAAACCGAUGUUAAUAUUCAAUGACCAAAAUUUUUUAUUUCAAAUAGUUUAGUGACCAGAAUAGAAAAAAAAUUAAAAGUUUGAUGACCAAAAUAGAACGCGGAUAAUAAUUUAAUGAUAUUUUUAUACUUUAUCUGUUUUUUAUGAUUAUUUAUACAUAUCAAGUGGAGCUAAUUUAGGGAAAAGAAUCAAUGGUUAAGGUUGUUGUUGAUACUUAAUGAUCAGGGUCCAAAUUUUGCUAAUGUAAUUUUCCUUAUCAUAAUUUGUAUCUUAAUUUUGUUACCAAAAAAAUAUUAGUAAUAAAUAAUAUAUGCUCGAGAAAUGUACGUAUGAUUGAUUUAAACAAUACAUGUUGGAGUAAUUUACAUAUGGAUUUAAAAUAAAUUUUAAAAAUAAAAUAAAAUUUUAAAAAUCCAAAAGUAUUUUUUCUUUUAAAAAAAUUUAAAAAUAAUUUUUAAAUUAUUUACAUGAUUGAUUUAAAGGAUUUCUUUCUAUUAAUUAUUUUUAUAUUAAAUUUAUUUUCCUUUAUGUAUAACAUUUAAAGGGUUUGUAUAUAUGCUAACUCGCGAGUCAAUUAAAAUUUGUAUUAUAUUCAUUGAAUUUUUUUAAAAUAUAUAUUUUAUUAAUUUAUUUAUUUAUUUGAGACCCAUGAUAAACUUGUAUUUAAAGUUAUUGGUGCACACUAUAAAUUCAUAUAUUGAAAAUGAUAGGUGCUAAAAGUAACAUGUUUUAGUCUCAUUCUUAAUGUGUUUUUGGAUGAUUAUUCGAUAUAAAAUGGUUAAUUUUAUGCUACUAAACUUUUCAAUUUACGUUCUACACUUAAUAGAGCAUUUAGGAGCAAAAGAAGCGAAAAACGAGCGAAAAUAAAAAAAAUAGGAGCAAGUCUCAAAAGCCACACAGGCUGAGCCAUUCCACACGGGUUGGACACAUAACCGAGUGAGCCACACGACCAUGUGCUAGACUGUGUGGAAAUCGCAAAUUACACUCCAAACGGCGUGAAAACACGUUAAUUUUAAGGUUUUUUAAGCAUUUUAAUACCUAUACAUGACAAAGAUAAGAAGAGGGGAGAGAGUCGUCAGAAAAUAUUAAAGAAAACAACUUAAAAAACACCAUUGAAGCUAACUUUGAAGCAAAUUUUCAUCAAGAUUGAAGAUCUCAUUUUGAUUUUUUUGAAGUUUAUUAUGAGUUUCUUUAUUUAUUGUAGUUAUACUGUCUUUAGGAUGUUUUUAUUUGCUAUCAUGAACGAAUUUUCUAAAUACCUAGGGAGAUGAAUCCUAUCAUGAAUUAUGUUAUUUGAUUUCUAUUUUUACGUAAUAAAGACUUAGAUCUUAUUCUCAAUUAUGUGUGCUUAAUUCUUGGUUUAAUAUUUCUAGACUAUUAAUCAAUGUUUGAUGUGCUUAAAUCAGAGGAGGAAUAAACCCUAUUUAAGAGUAGAUCUAGCGUAAAUGAGUGGAGUUGCAUGCAAUCCUAGAAAUAGGACAACAUAAAUCUACCGUAAUAGAUCCAAAUCUAAUAGGGGAAUCUAUAGAUCGAGUUAAUACGAUGAUAGAGGUUUUAAUUAGAAAUAAAUUUCAGUUAAUUAACCUAGAGUCAGUUACUCUUAGUCUUGAAGAGAUAUAUUAGCAUAAUUUAGGGAUUUUUACAGAUCAAUAUUCUAAGUGACGAAGUUGUGUAAUAUAGAUUGAUAAUGACAUAUGAAGUCUAGGUAGAUUCUUUCCUAGGUAUUGUCUCGCUCUUGGUUAUUAUUUGAUUAUUUUCUUGAUUUGUGCUUUGUUGUGUUAUUUAGUUAACUAAUUUAGUUAAUUUUAGUUCCAACCAAUCACUCCAAUUUAUCAGUUAAAUAAUAGAAAAGACGGUAAUUACUGGUACUUUUAGUCUUUGUGAAAACGAUAUCUUUGCUCACUAUAACUAUACUAUUAAUUGAUGUGCACUUGUCUGAGUUAGAUUUUUAGUUGGUUUACGACUGCAAUCAAAAAACUCAUUAAGUUAGCACAAACUAAGUUAAUUAUUCGUUGGUUGCUUUAUUUUUUUUCCUGAAGUUUCGAUUUCAUCUUUCAUUAUGUACAACAAUUUUGGUAUAAAAAUAUCAAAUUCUCGACACUUAAUAUAUACCUUUGAAAUAUAAACACAUGCAUCAAUUUUUUUAGGUUCCUCACAACUUACUUGUCCAAAAUUCUUGUAUCUUUCAGUUCUCCUGAUUGAAUCAAAAUUUGACUUUGUAAUUAUUUUUUAAGGACCUCAAACUAUCAAUUUAUAGUAUAAAUUUUCAAUAGCUUUCAUUCUUUACAAAUUGGUCCCUAAUUAAUCAACAAUGGUAUUAAAGCUUAAGCUUAGGGUCCCGUUGUUUCACUGAAAAUGGCUUUCGAAAAAUAAUUUCUAGAAAAUGACUUACUUUCCUAGAAAAGUUAAUAUUUUCUGAUGUUUGGAUGAAUCAGUGUAAAAUAUUUUAUAUUGUUUGACAAAUUUCUUAAAAAUAUUUCAUAAAAGCUGUUUUCAAUGAAACAAACAUGCAUUUGAGAUUUUCUUAUCUUUUCAUUGUUUAAUUAAGUUUAUCUUAUAUCUAUAAAUUUAUAUUUUACAUUUUUUUGCAUAUAAUAAAAAUAUAUAUUUUUUAAUUCAGGUUCACUACCAUGUCACUUUUUAGUUACAUGACUACCAAGUGAGUAUUUUUUUUAUUUAAAAAUGUGACAUCAACAAAAUUGACAAAAAAAAAAUUUAGCAAUGUCAACAAUUGGACUUGAUUUUCAAAUCUGAAAAGUAGAGGGACUAAAUUCUUGAAAAUAAAAGUAUAGAGACUAAAUUGAAAAUUUGUGAAGAAUACAUAGACUUAUCACAUUUUUUAACUUUUAUACUACAAAAUAUUUAUCAUUAAUAUAUUUAUAAUUAUAAUAAAUAUUUAUUAUUAAAAUAUUAAUAUUAAAUAUUUUCAAUAAGAAGAAUAUUAUUUAAAAUUAUUUUUUUUAAUUUUUUAUUAAAAUAAAAUUGAAAUAUUAAAUAAUUUAUUAAAAUAAUUAAUUUUAUUAAUAAUUAAUUUUAUGACUAAAUAUAAAUAAUUAAAUAUGUGUGUUUAAUAAUAUUGAAAUAUAUAAUAUUUUAUAUUAAUAUUUUAAAUAUUUUUAAAAAUAAAAAUAAAAUUUAUUUUCAAUAUAAUAAUAUUAAUAUUGAUUUAAAUGAAUUUUUAUAUAAAAAUAAAAUUACCUAUAGAUGAGCUCUUUUCCAGAAAAUGACUUACACUUUUCAAAAGGAUAAGUCAUUUUAUAGGAAAAAGAGUUCAAUUUUACAUUGACCUGUAAGUCAUUUUCCGAUGACCAAAAUGUUUUCUGUAAAAUAAACAUAAGAAAAUGAAGAAAAUAUUUUCCGUAAAACCUUUUACAUGUAAACAAACGGACCCUUAAUUCAAGCUUGUUCUAACAUAACCCACUUCACUAUUAGCAUGACUCUUCCUUAUACUAUGUUUAACCAUUAACCCUUCUCAUGAUUUCUAACAAAAAUUCUCUAAGUUCUCUUUAAUGGAAACUUCUAUUAGCUUCAACAAUAAGAAAUUCUAACCAUUGGGUUGGUUGUAUCAAGUUUCAUAGUUUAAAAAACUAUAAAAAAAUUAUUUAGAAAACAAUUUGUUUACCUUUGAUGGCCUUGAUGGAGAACAACUUGGUUUCUUCUUCUACUUAGUUUAAAGAAUGCAUGAAGAAGAAGAAGAUUUCCCCUCUCCCUCUAUCUUAAAUAUAUAUAUAAAUAACCUAUUAAUCAAGGUAAUUAACUCACUAAUUAAUCUUAAUUAGUUAUGAUCUAAUGGCCAUAAACUUACCAUAAGAAAAUUAGUGGAAAUGUGUGGCAUUGAUAAUGGUUUGCCAAUAAUCAAACUUCGGGCAUGGUAAUAUUGCAAUCAGGUCCUUGGUUUAAUUACACUUUAAGUACUUGCUAAAUUCUCUAAUCAAUUCCCACUAGUUGGAUCACUUGAACAAUUGGGUCCAUGUAUUAUAGUUACAACUUAUCUAAUUUAAUCAAUUAAUGAUUUGACUUUAUAAUUUCAUGUGCAACACACAAACUCCUCCGGUAAAUUCUCAAGCUAGCUUUAUUUAAAAAUUUGGCCUCAAAACCAGCUUUCCAAAUGUUCAUGAAAAUUGAGUUGUUACAUUAUGGUAUUUGUUUUGUUCAGCUUAUUUGUCAAGCUCUAUUCCUUUGAACUUAUGUUCGUUGACUUUGGUGUUGCUUAAAUGAAAAUGUGGUGAACAAUAUUAUGGAUAGGAGGAGUGUAUGAUUGAGUAUGUGUAACACCCCUAACCCACAUCCUUCGCCAAAUUAAAGUGACAGAGUGUUAUUAUUCAAAACAGAACAUUCCAUGACAACACAUAAACAAUUAUGCAAAUUAUCACAAUCAUUAAUUAACCAUAUUAAAAUAUAACAUAAGUAUCCAUACGACCUUUAAAUCGAGCUUAUAUGGCCUUAAAAAUAGCUUGGGAUCAAUCUAGGAUCAAUUUGGAACAUAACAUAAAUUUUAAGAAAAAUCUAAAAAUUUUGGGAAACAUGGGUCACACAACCGUAUGUCCAGGCCGUGUGACAUAGCCCAGACCUUGUGGGAAUUCAAAAUCAGGACACUCAAUCAUGUCCUAGCCCGUAUGUCUACCUGUGUGAAUAUUUGAAAUAGGGUCCCACAGUCGUGUCGCGGCCAUGUGCUAAACCGUGUAUAUAUUCAAAUUAUGAACACAUGGCCGUGUCGCAAGCCAUGUGCUAGACCGUGCUCAAAACUAUUUUGAGACACACAGCUGUGCCUUAGGCUGUGUGAAAUUUUCACUUUAGACAACGACACACAGCCGUGUGCCAGACCAUGUACACCAAAAUGUACCUUAAAAAUCAAAUUUACCAAAACAUGUUUACUUAGGCAUCAAGCAACCUAAUUACCAUCAAUCAAACUCAUUCAAAACACAAUUAAACAGGUUCAAAACAUCCAUCCUAAGUGCCUAGCCAUUGUGCCCUCAUUGACAUCAUAAUUCAAUAAUCAAAUCAAUCACAUUUAAACCAAGAUUUAAACAUUCAAAUUAUAAAAUCAUCAUUAACCAUUCAUACCAAAACACUGAUCAUUUCAAGUCAUAAACACCUAGCAAUAUUCACAUACUUUAUAAAGCUUAACUACCAAUACCAAAUAAGAUCCAUACACACAUACAUACCAAACAAAACACAUAUUCACAAGUAUCAUUCAAGAUUUACAACUUUACAUGUAAUUAACAUAAUUUCAAGUCAAUUAUUACAUGUCAUACAACCCAAAACAAACACUAAACAAACUACCAAUAGUUUCUCGAAUAGUGUGAUUCUUGAAAUCAAAUUGAUCACCCGAAGCGUCAAAAAUAAAUCUACAAGAAAGCAUUGGAAGAGACACAAGAGUAAGCUUACUUAAGCUUAGUAAUUUCCAUGGAUUUAAACAAUCAACUUACCGGAUAAACUUAUCUAAUAUAGAGUAUAGAAAAGUCAUAAAUCAUAAUCAUGUCAUCCAUAAUCAGAUCACGAGUGAGUCUUAAACUUAAAUAUGAAUGAAUUAAUUCAAUCAAUUACAUUAUAUCACUAAAUUAUACCCGAUGAACGUUGCAAUGGAUUUGGAUACACAGUUAACCAACCAAACACUCCAAAUCACUCAAAUGAGCUAGCCAUCUGAAAGUACACAUGGGCACCAAGUGCCAAGCCCAUAGGCUAACAUCCCUCCGAAACACACCUUGUCACCAAGUGCCAAGCCCGUAAGCUUUACAUCUGCCCCAGAAACACACCUGAAGCACUGCAAUAUAACGUAAUAGUUCGCAACAAAUGUUGAACUUCAAUAUAUUCAAUAAACAUGAAUAAGAUCAGAAUCAUCAUCUCCACAUCCACCAAUCUCGUAAAGCGCACGAUAUAACUUAUUGACAUGCCAAUUGUAUCCUAUCAUACAUUCAUCGGCUCACAUAUUUGUCAUUUAACAACAUUUAAUACAAUUUCUUUCCCAAAUCAUUUCACUUACCACAAUUCAAUACUUCCAUGUCAUUUAAUAAUUUCAAUCCACAAGUAAUUAAAUAUUUAAAUUAUACUAAAAUUAAACUGUACAAACUCACUAGGGCCAAAUUGCAGAAACAACAAAAGUUCAGGGACUAAUCAACAACCUUCCCUUUUUCCACAAUUAUCAACUUGAUCUUGAUCUAUAAUAUAAUUUAUUUCAAUUAUUAGCCUCAAUUUUCAUAUUCUAAUCAUUUCAAAACAUAUGAUCUCUUAUUUAUAAAUUUACACAUUUAUCCCAAAUUUUUACAUAUUAUACAAUUUAAUCCCUAUGACCAAAUCAAGCUUAGUUCUACAAUUAAAUUCUCAAUCCAUAGAACUAAAUUUUAACCACAUCCAAAACAAUCCAUAUAUGCUAAAAUUUUCAAGAGUAACAUGUCUAUUUCAGUUAAAUCACUAAACAUCAAAUUUUGUAAAAAUCACUUACAAACUCAAUACAUAUGGUCACCAAGCUUCAACCCAAACUAUUUACUACUACAAAUCUUCGAAAAUUUCAAUACAUAAUUUCUAUACUUUGAUAACUUCACAAAUAAACUCCAAAACUAGCUAAAUUCCAUUAUCAAUAGCUCAAAACUUAAAAUUUGAUGAUGAAUAAACCAAGAAAAUACUUACAUGCAUUAAAAACUAACAAAAACCAAGAUCCAAGCCUUAGAACAAUGGUGUUUCGGCCAAACCUAAGAAAAAUAAAGAAGAUGACCACUACCCCACUUUUGUUUUACUUUCCUUUUAUUAUUAUAAUAAUCUUUAUUUAUGAAAUUAUAACAUUAUAAAACACCAAUUUAAUUUUUUUUCUCUCUUUACCGCCCAUAUUAACUAACUAUGGGCUAAUGGCAACAUAACCUCCCUUAGUUUACUAAUUUAAGCUAUUAUAUUAAAAUAAAUCUAUAAUAAGCAACUUUUCCACCUAUUACAUAUUAAUCUUUUUUCUUUAAUCAAUUCACUAUACGUUAAAUUUUCUAAACCAAAACUUAAUACGACACUGAUGACUUUGUAAAUAUUAAAUAAUUAAUAAUUCUAGACUGACACGUCGAAAGUGUAGUCCUAAAACUAUUAUUUUCGACACCACUGGAAAUCGAACUGUUAUAGUAUGAUUCUACCUCUUAGGGGGAGACGUAUUCUAGUUUCCUUUGACUUGUUUAGAUGAUGUGUUAAUCAUUUGCUACUGGUUUUGUCAAAAUGCCAAAUGGUGAGAUUGUUUCAAACUUUGUUCAUGUUCGAACAUUAGAUUAAACAAUGCUUAAUUUGAUGCAUUCAAAGAAUUUAUGUUGGCAUGUUUGACUUUAUAAUGAAAUGGCUUAUGAUUUAAUCUCGUUGAGUAGCAAAUGGGGAAGUGAUUUUGUGUUAUAACAUGUGAUGAUCAUUAUCUUUCAAUCAACUACCUUGAAGAAGAAUGGGAGGAGUUUGAACUUUUGUGGACUUUCGUAAUAUUUGAAGCUGCUAAGAUACUUGUUUAUAAAGACUUUUAUGAUAUAACUAAUCAAAAUAAUUCAUGUCAGAAUUUUUGGAGUUUUAAACUUAUGAAGACUCUAGUAUUGGCCUAUAAAUAGGCAUAAUUACCGCACAUUGAAAAUAGGCUUUUGGAGGGUUUAAGUUGGAUGCUUUGGUGAAUUUUUCCUGUGUUUUAUACAACACUCUUUUUUAAGUUUUUAUUGGGGGAUAUUUGCUUGAUUGUAAGUGAGAUAUUUUGGAGAGAGUGAUUUGUAAUAAUUUAGGUUCAAUAUUGAAGUUGCAAAUAACUACAAGGUAAUGGUAAUUUGGACUCUAGUCAAUAGUUAAUCAAGACGAAUUGUAAAUAAAAAUUAUUUUUUAAGUGAAACUUUACAGAAUAAAACUAGUGAACUCAAACUACGCUAACAAAUAUUAUAUACUAUCUUUCCUUACUUUACUCGUUGCUUUACCUUAUUUUAAAAUUGCUUUGUCAUAAAUGUAUUAUGUUUGACCCUUUCCGAUCGAAAUAAAAAAAUGAGAUUGAAAUUGUGAUAAAGCUAAAAAAAAGUUACAACAAAUAUGAUUAAUAUUAUUUUUAUAUAUACUUACUAAAAUUUAAAAAGGAAUUACAUUUAUCGAAUAUUAUUUUAUUUAAUAAAUAUAAUUAAUAUAUUUUAUAUAAAAUUUAAACUUUUUAUUAUUUGUUAGCUAAAUUUUAUUAUUUUUAUUUUCUUUAUGAAUAAAAUUAAUUUUCCUAAAAUUUGAGAUAAAAAAAUGUUAUAUAGAAAAUUAAAUUAGUAAAAAGUGCAGUUCAUACUUUAUAAUUAUUAUAAAUGAAAAAAUAUUAUAAAAGAUAAAUAUUAAACAUAAAAAAAUCAAUUCUAAAAUAAACUUAACUAUUAUAAUAAAAUAUUUUUAUAUAAAAAAGAAAUUAUAGAAAAGACUUACUGAUUAUAUUUCCAAUUUUCGACAUUCAUAAAAAAAAAGUGGUCCUAAUAAUUUAUUUAUACAAAAAAAAAAGUGGUCCUAUUAAUUAACCUCACAUUUGAAAUGUGUUAUAUGUAAUAAUAUUAAUAUCUUUAUCAAUUUUGGAGGUUCAUCCUUUCCCAUCUCUAUAAAUUCGCAUGGAGAAAUAAAGCAAUACAUCAACACAAUCUGUAUAACCAUGAAAACCACAACAGCUUCAGUGUUUCUUCUUUUCAUCAUCUUCUCAGUCACACCAUCAUCCUUUUUGUUUGGUGUAGCCAACGCUACAAACGAACCUGUACUCGACUUUGAUGGCAACGAGGUUCAAACAGGCACCCCAUAUUACGUUGUGUCGUACAUAUGGGGUGCUGGUGGUGGGGGGCUUGACCUAGGCAGGCCUAGUGGAAACCCAUGCCCGGAAGUCGUUGCUCAAAGAGGAUCCGGUGACAAUGGUAUUCCGGUGAUAUUUUCUAAUUCGGACUCCAACGAUGGCGUUGUUCGCCUAUCCUCUGACAUAAACAUAGAGUUCAUUUCCCUCAGACCCAAACUUUGCCGAACAACAACAGUGUGGAAGGUCGAUGAUUACGACCAUUCAGCCGGAAAAUGGUGGGUGAUAACCGAUGGGGUUAAAGGGAACCCAGGUGCCAACACUUUGACCAGUUGGUUUAGAAUAGAGAAGGUGGGUACUGAUUUUCAAUAUUACACAUUUAAGUACUGCCCCGCAGUAUGUGGAACAUGCCCAGCCUUAUGCAACCAAAUUGUGAGAGACUUUGAUGGAGAAAUGGUACGUUUGGCUCUCACCACUGGCCAUGGAUGGCCAUUUAUCUUUAAGAAAGUUGGAAAAUCAGCCAUGGAGAUUGAACAAGUUGUUCAUAAUUAGAUUGAAAGCAAUCAUUAUGCAUGAACUAGUAGUUACUACAUAAUAUUAGCUUCAAGUAAAUAAUGCUGAGGGAACUUAUUGUUAAGAUUGCCUUGUUUGAAGCGGCAGCAUGUAUAUAUAUAUGCUUGCUUACAAGGUUUGUCUCUCAGAGUCCUCCUCUUUGUACUCUUUUCAGCUUAAUGAAUAAACUGUUUACUUAUUUACUUCUUUUGUUGCCAUUGAUUCUAGUAGCAUUCGACUCAUUAACUUGGAUACAUUACCUUGUAAUUAACCAAAAAGUUAUGUGUAUAUAUAUAAAGAGUGUGUGAGAGAAAAAAUAGAAUACCAAGUACCAAGUGAAAAAUGUUAAUACUAGGAUUAUUCAAAGCGAUUUCAAUGAACAGAAAUGGAAUAGUCGUCGGGUGGUUAGGGCAUUUUAUCUUUAGAGAUAAAGAAGGUUGGUUCAUGUUCGGAGUUUGUGGCUACUCCUUCAAUAAUAUCGUUUUUAAAGUUUAAACUUGUAUCACAUUUUAAACACGUAAUGUAUCUUACCAUUACAUCCAACAAUAUUAACCAUUUACUCUAUUGUAUUGUAUUGUAUUCUAUUAUUAAUUAAUGAUUAUGAUAUGUAUUAAGUUUAAGAUGAAUUUUCUCAGUAAUAUAUAUCAAUGGAAUCAAAUAUUUGUAUUUAAAGUUUUAACUCCACAUUAACUUUUUCUUUAUUUUGUCCGUUUGCUGGCGAUGAUUAGGAGAUUAAUGGUUGGUAUUUGUGGUUAGUAGGUUAUAACUCAAUAGUGAACUCGAGGGUUGAUAGUGGCCCGACUCCACUUAAAUAAAAAAUUUUACAUUUAAAUCUCUUUAUAAUUUAUAAAAUUUUAAAUUAAUAAUAAAAAAAUUAUAUUUUAACUCUCUAAAAUUAAUAAAAAUGAUAAAAAUGUAGAAGUAAAUUUAUACAAUUAAUGAUAAUAAUGAUAAGAAGUUGUUUCCUGUCACAUGGAAAUUUAUGGCAUCGUCCAUUUGGUUUUAUAUUUGUCCAUUUGCUUGGUUAAGAGUUGAAAGACAAACUAUAAUUAAGUAUACAAAACCAAACGAAUUUCAAGGGUUUUCUCUUCAAUUAUUGUCGAAUUUAGCUAAUUAUUAGUAAUUUUUAUUAUUUAAUUAUAAAAAUUAUAAAAUAAUGACUUAAUUAUAAGAAUUAUAAAAUAGUGACUUAAUUAUAAAAAUAUAUAUAAAUAGCCAUCUAAUUAUUUAAUUUUUUUUCUUUUUUAUCAUCACCGGAUUAAUGGUGGUAAUUUUUAUAAUUGACAUAAUAGUAACUUUAACCAUUAAUAAUUAUACAUUAUGUCAAUUUAGUCUUGAUUCUAAAAAAUUUAACCUUUGACAUUUACACAUAUAUAAUUUGACAUUUUUAUAAUUUUAUUUUUUACUAAAAAUAAAUCAUGAAAAUAAUAAAAUAUGCAUAAAAAUAAAAAUACAGCUACCGAGUAUAUGUCUUAAUGUAGAUUUAUAACAAUUAUCUUUUCAUAAAGAUAUUUUAUUAUAAAAUAUAUAAUAAGCACUUCCCUGUAACAAAUAAAAUUGUAGUAAACAAAUGAAAUUAUUAUAAAGAAGAAUUUUCUAUUUUCAUAAUAAUAAUAAUAAUAAUAAUAAUAAAAGAAAAGAAAAAAGUGGUUCUAUUAAUUCACCUCACAUUUGAAAUGUGUUAUAUGUAAUAAUAUUAAUGUCUUUAUCAAUUUUGGUGGUUCAUCCUUUCCCAUCUCUAUAAACACUACACCAGAAUAGGUUUUUAGCGGCGUUUUUUAGGCCUUUAGCGACGCUUAUUAACGCCACUAAAUCUAUUUCCGGCACUUACAAAAAAAAGCCGCUAAAGAUCAUGUUCUUUAGCGGCGCUUAGGAAAAAACGCCGCAAAAAAUCAUGUUCUUUAGCGGCGCUUAGAAAAAAACGCCGCUAAAGAUCAUGUUCUUUAACGGCGCUUAGAAAAAAACGCCGCUAAAGAUCAUGUUCUUUAGCGGCGCUUUGGAAGAAAACACCUCUAAAAGUAAUGUUCUAUAGCGGCGCUUGUUCAAAAACGCCGCUAAAAGUAGUGUUCUUUAGCGUCGCUUGUUUCACAAACGCCACUGUUUUGAUAUGACUUUUAGCGGCGCUUUUUUAAAAAAUGUCACUAAUUUUGGGAUUUUUUUAAAAUAAAAUUUUCUGUUUUUUUCAGCCCUCCUGCAACAACAAAUCAAAAGCAACCAGAUCUAAACUAACCAAAAAUAAUAAAUUUAUAUAAUAUUUCAAAUUAAAUGAAUAAAAUAAUAUUAAUUGAUAUAAAUAAAAGUGAAUUUCAGACUUUUCUUUACAAAAACGUUAAAAGUAUUUAUGCAACAUACACUAUGACGGCGGAAGUUGCGACUGCUGAAACAUCUUCAUCAUAAUCUAAAGCUGCUGUUGAAGUUCGUCGUACUUUUUGCUCUACUUUGCUUCUCUCGAUGCCGCAUCUUUUUGAAGCCGUAGCUGUAGUUCUUCACAUUUCUUUUGAACCUCUGCUUCUAUCGCUGCUUAUCUCGCUACGGCAUCUGCUUCCCUCACUGCUGCCUCUGAUUUAAGUUGUUGCUGAAGUUCUUCAUAUUUCCUUUGAACCUCAAAUGUGGUCGCUUGCAUCUGAGUCAUCUAGUCUUUUAACCUCUGAACUUCAGCUUGAGACUGACUCCCCGAAGCCAUGUAUUGGUGCGAGCUGGAUCCAAAAUAUUGGGUUGGGCUGAUAAAAGAUCCUUGAAAUCGAACCCGACCAUACUUUUCAGGACCCAAAACUUUAGUAAUAAUCCGGUUAUCAAUGUCUUCAAGAUGAAUAGAACUAUCACUAGAAGCAAUCGUUUCGUACUCUGUCUUUUUUUCCUUCAGUUUUUCCUAAUAAAUAAAUCACAUAGUUAGGAACGCAAUAUAUAGUAAAAAAAACAAAUGCAAUAUAACAAUAGUCGCAUUACAAGCAAUGAAUUAAACCAUUAGAAAAUAAACACUAUAAAUAACUAAAACAAGUGAAAUCGUAUUAAGUAAACGUACCAUAAUUUCACCAGCUUCAGGAGUCAUAGCAGAUCCAUCUUUCUUCUUAUGUGUAAUUUCAAAAAGUUGAAGGCGUCCAACUUUUUGAUCGGACGACCGUUCCUACAACACUCUUUUUUAAGUUUUUAUUGGGGGAUAUUUGCUUGAUGUAAGUGAGAUAUUUUGGAGAGAGUGAUUUGUAAUAAUUUAGGUUCAAUAUUGAAGUUGCAAAUAACUAUAAGGUAAUGGUAAUUUAGACUUUAGUCAAUAGUUAAUCAAGACGAAUUGUAAAUAAAAAUUAUUUUUUAAGCGAAACUCUACAGAAUAAAACUAGUGAACUCAAACUACUGAACUCAAACUACGCUAACAAAUAUUACAUAUUAUCUUUCCUUACUUUACUUGUUGCUUUACCUUAUUUUAAAAUUGUUUUGUCAUAAAUGUAUUAUGUUUGAACCUUUCCGAUCGAAAUAAAAAAAAUGAGAUUGAAAUUGUGAUAAAGCUAAAAAAAGGUUACAACAAAUAUGAUUAAUAUUAUUUUUAUAUAUACUUAAUAAAAGUUAAAAAGGGAAUUACAUUUAUUGAAUAUUAUUUUAUUUAAUAAAAUAUAAUUACUAUAUUUUAUAUAAAAUUUAAAUAUUUUAUUGUUUGUUAGUUAAAUUUUAUUUUUUUUUAUUUUCUUUAUGAAUAAAAUUAAUUUUCCUAAAAUUUGAGAUAAAAAAUGUUAUAUAGAAAAUUAAAUUAGUAAAAAGUUAAAAAAAUCAAUUCUAAAAUAAACUUAACUAUUAUAAUAAAAUAUUUUUAUAUAAAAAAAAAGAAAUUAUAGAAAAGACUUAUUGAAUAUAUUUCCUAUUUUCGACAUUCAUAAAAAAAAAAAAGUGGUCCUAAUAAUUUUUUUAUACAAAACAAAAAAAAGUGGUCCUAUUAAUUUACCUCACAUUUGAAAUGUGUUAUAUGUAAUAAUAUUAAUAUCUUUAUCAAUUUUGGAGGUUCAUCCUUUCCCAUCUCUAUAAAUUUGCAUGCAGAACUAAAGCAACACAUAUCAACACAAUCUGUAUAACCAUGAAAACCACAACAGCUUCGGUGUUUCUUCUUUUCAUCAUCUUCUCAAUCACACCAUUGUCCUUUUCGUUUGGUGUGGCCAACACUUCAAACGCUCCUGUGCUCGACAGUGAUGGCAACGAGCUCCGCACAGGCACCCCAUACUUCGUUGUGUCGUCGAUAUGGGGUGCUGGUGGUGGGGGGCUUGCCCUAGGCAUGCCUAGAGGAAAGCCAUGCCCGGAAGUCGUUGCUCAAAGAGGAUCUGGUGACGAUGGUAUUCCGGUGAUAUUUUCUAAUUCGGACUCCAACGAUGGCGUUGUUCGCCUAUCCUCUGACAUAAACAUAGAGUUCAUUCCCCUCAGACCCAGAUUUUGCCAAACAACAACGGUGUGGAAGGUCGAUGAUUACGACCACUCAGCCGGAAAAUGGUGGGUGAUAACCGAUGGGGUUAAAGGGAACCCAGGUGCCAACACUUUGACCAGUUGGUUUAGAAUAGAGAAGGCGAGUCAUCUUGAUUACACAUUUAAGUACUGCCCCGCAGUAUGUGGAACAUGCCCGGCUUUAUGCAACAAAAUUGCGAGAGACUUAGAUGGAGAAAUGAUGCGUUUGGCUCUCUCCACUGACCAUGGAUGGCCAUUUUUCUUUAAGAAACUUCAAACAUCAGCCAUGGAGAUUGAACAAGUUGUUCAUAAUUAGAUUGAAAGCAAUCAUUAUGCAUGAACUAGUAGUUACUAUACAAUAUUAGCUUCAAGUAAAUAAUGCUGAGAGAACUGAUUGUUAAGAUUGCCUUGUUUGAAGCAGAAGCAUGCAUAUAUAUAUGCUUGCCUACAAGGUUUGUCUCUCAGAAUCCUCUUUGUACUCUUUUCAGCUUAAUAUAUAAACUGUCUACUUAUUUACUUCUUUUAUUAAUGUCAUUGAUUCUAGUAGUAUUAGACUCAUUAACUUGGAUACAUUGUCUUGUAAUUAACCCAAAAAUUAUAUAUAUAUCAAAAAAAAAAAUGAGAGUGAGAGAGGAAAAUAGACUACCAAGUAACAAGUGAAAAAUGGUAAUACUAGGGUUAUUUAGAGUGGUUUCAAUGCACAACCGGAAUGAAUUGUUACCUUAUCUUUAGAGUCAAAGAAGGGUUCGUGACUAGUCUUUCAACAAUACUAUUUUCAAGGUUCAAACCUGCAUUAUCCUUUAAAUACGUAAUGUAUUUUAUCAUUACGCUCAAUAUUAUUAGUGAUUUACUUUAUUCUAUUCUUAAUUAAUAAUUAUGAUAUAUAUAAAGUUUAAGAUGGAUUUUCUUAUUUAUGUAUAUCAAUUAAAUCAAAUAUUUGUAUUUAAAGUUUUAACCCAACAUUAACUUUUUUUUUAAAAAUUUCUUCGUUUGUUGGUGGUGAUUAGGAGAUUGAUGGCCGGUCUUUGUGAUUGGUAGCUUUUAACACAAUGGCGAAGCUAAGGAGGCUUUAAAUGUUUAAAUGAAUAUUUUUUUCAAUUGAAAUUUCUUUAUAAUUUAUAAAAUUUUAAAUUAAUAAUGAUAAAAUUACAUUUUAAUUUUUUAAAAAUGAUAAAAACGUGGAAGCACAUUUGUACGAUUAAUAAUAAUGAUAAUAUUUUUCCUACCACAUGGAAGUUUAUGGAAACACCAUUGGGUUUUGUAUUUAUGUUUUAUUCGACACUCUUAUAAGUUUUACUGGGGAGAUUUGUUUGAUUGUAAGUGAGGUAUUUUGCGGAGAGUGAUUUAUAAUAAUUUAAAAUUAAUAUUGGGGUUACAAAUAACUAUGGGAGUAAAGUAGUUUAGACUUUAGCUAAUAAUUGAUCAAGAUGGAUUGUAGAAUAAAAUCAUUUUCGAAGCAAAAUUUUAUAAAAUUAGUAAAUCUGAAUUAUUCUAUAAUAUUGAUAUUAUCUUUCUUCACUUUAGCCCUUGCUUCACCUUAUCUCAAAAUUAUUCUAUAAUAAUCUAUUUUGUCUCAACCUUUUCAACAGAAUUUAAAAUGAAACUAUUUCUAUGAAGUGCAAACCAAAAACUUUUUCACAUACCAAUAAAUGGCAAGCAACCAUACCGUGGGCCCAAUGUCCCAACAAUCAUCUAAACAUUUUUUUUUUCUUUUUUAAAUAAUAUGUAAUAAUUUAUAUACCAUAAAUGAAUAUUAAUUAAAAUAAUAUAAACAAAAUACGACUCUUUAAUAUAAUAUGGAUCCAAAAUGUUUCAUAUUUGAAAUGCAGUUUUUGAUAAUUUCACAUUUCAUAUUUUAUCUUAGAACAAAAAGAAAAUUUGAACUUAAUAUUUGGACUAUUGAUCAAUGGUGUUUAUUAUAUUUCAAGACUAUCAGAUUAAUCUGUCGAUACUACUUAUAUGGUAUGGUUUAAAUGGGUGUGUGUGGAUAUAGAAAUUUGAAAUUCUAUUGUAUCAAAGAAAUUUUUUUUAAAAAUAAAAUAAAAAGGAAUUUGAAAUUUAAAAUUUGAGAUCAAAAUAAAAAAAAUGAGACUUGUUAUAAACCAUAAGGCUCAAAAAAGGUUACAACAAAUAUGGUUAAUAUUAUUUUUAUAUAUACUUAAUAAAAGUUUAAAAUAUCAAAUUUGUAAUAUUAUUUUUAUUUAAUAAAAUAUAAUUAAUAUAUUUUAUAUAAAAUUUAAAUAUUUUAUUGAAAUAUUAUGUUAGGUAAAUUUUAUUAAUUUUAUUUUCUUUAUAAAUAAAAUUAAUUUUAUUAAAAUUUGAGAUAAGAUAAUUAAAUUAAUAAAAGGUAUACUUCAUAUUUUAUAGUUAUUAUAAAUAAAAAAUUAUUAUAAAAAUUAAAAAAAAAGAAUUCUACAACAUAAUGAAAUAUUUUUAUUAAAAAAAACAGAAAUGAUUGAUGGAAUAUAUUUCCAAUUUUCGACGUUCAUUAAAAAAAAAAGAGUGGUCCUAAUAAUUGAUUUAUUGGGGAAAAAAAAGUGGUCCUACUAAUUUACCUCACAUUUGAAAUGUGUUAUAUGUAAUAAUAUUAAUAUCUUUAUCAAUUUUGGAGGUUCAUCCUUUCCCAUCUCUAUAAAUUCGCAUCGAGAAAUAAAGCAAUACAUCAACGCAAUCUGUAUAACCAUGAAAACCACAACAGCUUCAGUGUUUCUUCUUUUCAUCAUCUUCUCAGUCACACCAUCAUCUUUUUUGUUUGGUGUAGCCAACGCUACAAACGAACCUGUACUCGACAUUGAUGGCAACGAGGUUCAAACAGGCACCCCAUAUUACGUUGUGUCGUCCAUAUGGGGUGCUGGUGGUGGGGGGCUUGCCCUAGGCAGGCCUAGCGGAAACCCAUGCCCGGAAGUCGUUGCUCAAAGACGAUCCGGUGACGAUGGUAUUCCGGUGAUAUUUUCUAAUUCGGACUCCAACGAUGGCGUUGUUCGCCUAUCCUCUGACAUAAACAUAGAGUUCAUUCCCCUCAGACCCAAACUUUGCCGAACAACAACGGUGUGGAAGGUCGAUGAUUACGACCAUUCAGCCGGAAAAUGGUGGGUGAUAACGGAUGGGGUUAAAGGGAACCCGGGUGCCAACACUUUGACCAGUUGGUUUAGGAUAGAGAAGGCGGGUGAUCUUGAUUACACAUUUAAGUACUGCCCUGCAGUAUGUGGAACAUGCCCAGCUUUAUGCAACAAAAUUACGAGAGACUCAGAUGGAGAAAUGGUACGUUUGGCUCUCUCCACUGGCAAUGGAUGGCCAUUUUACUUUAAGAAAGUUGGAAAAUCAGCCAUGGAGAUUCAACAAGUUGCUCGUAAUUAGAUUGAAAGCAAUCAUUAUGCAUGAACUAGUAGUUACUACAUAAUAUUAGCUUCAAGUAAAUAAUGCUGAGAGAACUUAUUGUUAAGAUUGCCUUGUUUGAAGCGGCAGCAUGUAUAUAUAUAUAUGCUUGCUUACAAGGUUAAUUUGUCUCUCAGAGUCCUCUUUGUACUCUUUUCAGCUUAAUGAAUAAACUGUUUACUUAUUUACUUCUUUUGUUGCCAUUGAUUCUAGUAGCAUUCGACUCAUUAACUUGGAUACAUUACCUUGUAAUUAACCAAAAAGUUAUGUAUAUAUAUAUAUAUAUCAAAACAAAACAAAAAAGAGAGUGAGAGAGGAAAAUAGACUACCAAGUACCAAGUGAAAAAUGGUAAUACUAAAUUUCCAGAUAUAUGGCAUUGUUUGUGUGUGACAAACACCAAGUAUAAAUAGGUGGAAGUAUGACUACUUAUCAAGAGUGGUAUGGUUCAAAAACUACCCCUAUCGAAUUAUUUCAUCCUACUCAUUCGUUAUCGAUAGGAAGAAGGAUACUUCCAACAAGAAAUAUUUUGAAGGGUUAGUGUUGAGUUAGCUAAAAAUCAAAGUUUAUCAGAAGCUCGAUCUAAAAUUCGCCAAAAGGAGGAUUAUUCAAAGCGAUUUCAAUAGACAACGGGAAUGGAAUAGUCUUUGAGUGGUUAGGGCACCUUAUCUUUUGAGAUAAAGAAGGGUUGGUCCAUGUUUGCAGUUCGUGACUAAUCCUUACAACAAUGUCGUUUUCAAGGAUUGAACAUGUGUCAUCCUUUGAACAUGUAAUGUGUCUUACAAUUACACCUAACAUUGUUGGUGAUUUACUUUAUUAUAUUCUUAAUUAAUAAUUAUGAUAUAUAGUAUGUUUAAGAUGCAUUUUCUUAUUCAUGUAUAUCAAUUGAAUCAAAUAUUUGUAUUUAAAAUUUUAACUCGACAUAUCGAAGGUCUGCUACUCUAGCACGUCUUUGGUCUGCUGCUCUAGCAUGUUUUGGUUUUUUUAGGGUUUUUUUGGCUUAUUUCUCUUUGUUCUAGCGAUGACAGUUCUUGGGAUAGAGUAUUUCUUUUCAAUCUGGUUGAUUUUGAUUCGUGGCAAUGGAGGAUGAAUUGGCAGAGUUAACAUUGGAAGAUGAGGAAUAGGAGAUUUUGCAAGUACAGAAGGAAACUGAUUCUGCGACAGUGGUUUAAGAUCUUUGUCUGGUUGGAUACUUUCUCACAACGAGUGUAAUCCACUUUAUGACAAUGAGAAGCGCGAUGGCAAAUCUAUGGCAUCCUCUUAGAGGAGUUCAGAUCUCUAAUUUGGGGGAUAAGAAAUUAUUUCAAUUUUUUCAUAAAAUGGAUAUUGAUAGGGUACUAAAUGGGGAUCCAUGGACUUUCAAUAAUCAUCUUUUGGUGAUUCAUUUUUUGGAGGAUGGUGAGGAUCCGAUGAAGGUACCGCUAAUCUAUACGACUUUUAAGGUGCAAGUGCAUGAUUUACCCCCAGGGUUUUUUACUGAAUCUAUAGCAAAGAAGUUAGGCAAUUUUAAGGGUAAGUUUUUUGGAUCAAUGGAAAAAGCUUGGGUAAGGGCCUCAGGAAUUUCUUACAUAUACGGGUUUAGAUGGAUGUUAGAUGCUAUUUGAAGCGAAAAAAGAAGAUUAUGUUUUCACUUGGCAAGUGUUCCUAUGUCAACUUGAUAUACGAAUGACUAACUCUAUUCUAUUUUGUCUAUGGUUGUUUGGUAGACAAUGACUCUUUCUGUCAAGUUAGAAUGGCUAAAGGCUUAGAAGUUGUAGAGAUGGGAUGGUAUCUGUCUCUAAAAGCCCAGUCUAGGAGAGCUACUACGAUGAACAGCGUGUGGCUGCGGGAGGAAGGUAAAGGUGAGAUAAAGGGAAAUACCAUAGGACAUUUUGAUUUAGGGUAGGGAUUGUGGAAGGAUGGAAGGAAAGAAUCUAGGAUGCCCAUAGAUCUGUGUUGGGGUUAAAUUUGGAGGGUGGUUUGAAGUUAGUGUCGGGUAUGCAAGGGAACUCUUCAACGAUACAAGAUCAUUCGAAUAUGGAUCACGACUCAGAGGAAUGCGCUAUAAAAGGUAAAGAUGGGAAAAAAAGACCCAAAAAGGAUAAUGGAAAUCAUAGUGUUUCGAUUGUGACAGAUUCACUUGUGAUUAGAGAUGAGAGAUUGUUGGGACGAACUCACUUUUUAUCGGCAGCUGCCAAGGGGCAAGAUGAUCAGUCACAAUAAAAAUAAUUAGUUGGAACAUCCGUUGAUUGGGGUGUCCACAGGCUAUAAGAAGGCUUUGACAUAUGUUGAAGGUGUAUAAUCCCCAAGUGGUCUUCUUUAUGGAGACAAAAAUUAGUAAUGUGCAAAUAGAGAAUGUGCAUAGAAGGUGUGGAUUUUUAAAUGGUAUUGAUGUUUCGGCCGAUGGUUCAAGAGGAGGUCAUUUUCUAGCUUGGAAGGAAAAUGUUAAAACGAAUCUAAUGAGUUAUUCUAGUAGUCAUGUAGAUGUUGUAUUUUAGAAGAUUGAUAAUGGAGGUUUGCUGGCUUUUAUGGGACAUCAAAUGCGUGUAGCAGAGACGAUUCAUGGAAUUUGUUAAGAAAUCUAGGACGCUCUCAAGCGUUCCCUUGGCUAGUGUGUGACAAUUUUAAUGAAAUUAUAUACUCUUUUGAAAAGGUUGGGGUGCCAAGAGAGGAGAAGAGAAUAGAGGUCUUUUGAGGAGUCUUAUAGGAAUGUUAGUUAAUGGACAUUGGAUACUUUAGGGCUAGGUUUACCUGGGAAAGGGGAAACUUACCGAAAACGAAUAUGAGAGAGCGACUGGAUAGAGGAGUGGCGAAUGCCGAAUGGAUGAACAUGUUUUCUAGUGCAGUGGUUUAGCAUUUACCACAUUCUUUUCCAGAUCAUUGUCCCCUUUUUAAUCAUACGGAGCAGGAGAGUAAUAGGUUGAGGCAGAAAAGGUUUCAGUCCGAGGCAUGGUGGGUGAUGUAAGAAUCUUUUGAGGAGGAGGUUAAACAAAUAUGUCAAUCUACUUCGGGUGAUAUGUUGGCUAAGCUAGAAGGUGUGAGGAAGGGCUUAGUGAGAUGGGCGGGUUUUGUUAGAAAUAAAAGAGAGGGCCUUAAAAGGAAUUUGACUAGAAAAUUGGAGGAGAUGAUGGGAAAGGAUAGAGAUGAUGAGAAUAUUGUUGAACUAUCUUAAAAUUCUCUUGUCAUAACUUGAAGUUUGUGUCAUUUAAUAUAAGAAUACAAUUAAUGCCUGCAAUAAUGUUGGCAGGUAUAAUUAUUGUUGUAUCAAACAAAACAAUCUCAUGUAUGACUUCAAAUAUAAAACAAAAUAAUAAUUAAUUCGAAUAAAGGUAAACCCUAAGAUACCAAUCACUCCAUUAAUAUUUCAUUUUUGAACAAAUAUAUUAAGUUGUAAAUGAUAUCUUGGUGUAGUAAUUAAACACCGACAAUAAGCGUCACAUGUUUAUUACAACAGUUGCAAAUGUAAUUUUGUUAAAUAUUAGCCUCCAUUUAGGCCAGUCAAUAUUAACAUAACUUAAGUUACAUACACACAACCCCAAAAUUAUAAAAGUCCUAUUGUUAAAUUGAUUUGGUUCCUUUGACAUAGGAAAGCCGAAUUGCAUAAACAAUCAAUGUAUCCCCUAUUUUAUUCAUGUUUAUCACAAUGUUUGAAGGAGUGCUCACUCUUUUAGGGCGUGUUUACCAUUGAGGUUGAAAAGUAUCAUUAAACCCAAACAAUUAUUUCAAACCAAACAUUAAUUUUAAACUAGGAUUUUAGGCCAACCCAAAACUUCUAGCUUUUACUUUUUGGAAAGGUGCUUUUCAAUUAAAAACCUUUUUAUUCCUCGUUAAACUUUCUACUUUAUAACAUAAUGUCUAAAAUGGAAAUUUUAUUUUUCUAAAAACACUUAUAGACAACAAUAAUAAUUACUAUUAAUUUUUUCAAAAUCACUUUUCUACGGCACUGUUAAACUUAAAUGAUAAUCUAGCCUUUUAACCACUCUUUUCUAACAGAGAGCUUAUCUCUUAGCAAUAGUUUGGGCAAACAAAAAUAAUGUAUAUAUGAAAACGAAUAUUGAAUUUGAAUGUACAAUCAAUUUUCUGAAUAAUUAAUUAAAAAGAAUGUUUGAAUUCAAAAAUUUUAAAAAUUUUGAUAAAAAAUGUGGAAGCGCAGACUUGUGUGAUGAAUAGUAAUGAUAAUAAUGAUAGAAGCUGUUUCCUGGCACGAGGAACUUAUGGAAUUCGUCCAUUUGGUUCUAUAUUAGCCCUGUUGCUUCCGUGUUUAAGAGUAAAACGACAAAAUAUUAAGUAGAAAACACCAAACGAAUUGAACUAUUUUCUUAAGAUGGUGUCGGUAAUGUAUCUGUGGAUACCCAUUUGAAUUUUUAAAAAACUGAAAAAAUUAAUUUAUUUUUUAGAUUGAAUCAGCAGCAGGAAAAUAAGAAAAAAUACAACUUUGAGUUUGAGUUUGGAACUCUGAGAUUUCGCUCGGUGAUCUGAAUGGUGAGGUGGUAUGUUUAAAUACGGAGAAUAAUAUAUAUUCGACUAGCAACAAUCUGAUGGAGUGAAAUAGGAACUGAAAAAAAGGGUAAUUUAAAGUUUUGGUCAUUGUUUUAAAAGAUUACCUUCAGUCAUUAUAUUUUUCAGUUUUGGAAUUCCAGUACUACUUAAAUUGUAAUUGUUAAAUCUAUUUACUAUAAUGAUAUAAAAUUUUUAUGAAUAUUAACACUAUUAUUUUUUUUAAAGCACUUAUUCAUGGCACAAGGAACUUAUGAUGAAUAGUAAUGAUAAUAAUGAUAGAAGUUGUUUUUCUGGCACAAGGAACUUAUGAUGAAUAGUAAUGAUAAUAAUGAUAGAAGUUGUUUUCCUGGCACAAGCAACUUAUGGGAUUCGUCCAUUUGGUUCUAUAUUUCUCCGCUUGCUUGAGCGUUUAAGAGUUAAAGGACAAAUUAUUAAGUAGAAAACACCAAACGAAUUGGAAGGCUUUUGUCUUCUUCAAUUGGUAUGACCUAUAUUUCUUAUUAAACUUCGUAUUUUACAUUCAAUAUCAUCAUCACAAUCAUUUUAAUUUAUUUUCAUGAAUAAACUUUUAUGUCUCAUUUUAAUUGAAUCAUUAAAAUUUAUUAAUUGAAUUUUUUUUUAAGAUGGUACCGUUAAUGUGUCAAGUGAUAUCAAUUUAAAUUUUUAAAAAAAGUUGUUUGAAUUAAUUUGAUUUCAUUCGGUAAUCCAAACAGUGAGAUAGUGUGUUUAACUACGGGGAAUAACAUAUAUCCAAAUGGUGACAAUCUGGUGGAGCGAAACAGAUAUCGAAGAAAGAGUAGUUUAAUGAAUUUGGAGUCGACUUCUGGAAAAUCUGAAUUAUAGAAGUGAACGAAGAGGAAAUCUCUUCUUUGGUGCCGUAAUCGACAUAAACGGCCAUUAUGAAUGGCAACAUCGAUAAUUAUUGAGUACAAUGAUUAAAAUUUUCAGUUAAAAAAAAGGAAUGGAAAGGAAAACAAAAAGAAAAACGUGGAAAGAAAGAAAGAAUAAUAAUAAUUAAUUAAUAAAUAAAAAGAGAAUUGUGGGGGCGAUGCUUUUGAACAAAUCUUGAUUUAAACUAUGUAAAGAAAAUAUGCGUUAUAUAUAUAAUUAAUUAUGCACUUAUACUUAAUAUAUUAUAUAUUUAAUGUCAUAUUUUCAUAUUCUCGGGAAGUGGUAAUAUACAAGUACUUGAUUUGAUUUAUUUCUUGAUCGCUUCGUGAAUUUUAUGUUUGUAACAAUAGGGACAGAAUUUCUUCAAUUCCAAUCGACUGGGCGUAUUGUGUCAAUUUUUUUUGAGUAAUAUACCUAGAAAUACCCGUUGAUUCCUUAUAAACGCCGUUUCAAACACAACUGGUACACCCCAAAAUAACCGUUACUCAGACAUCUUUACUAUUGACCAUGAACCUCCUUUGAGUUUUUAAUUCACCUAACUUUUCUAUUUUUCAAUCAAAAGCGAAGAAGAAAGGAAUGAAAAAAAGAAAGAAAUCAAAGUUGCUAACUCAAAACAAAUCCUGACAAUUUUGGUUGCAAUCAAUAUAGCAAGUCAAUAUAAAUUUAUAGUAAUAGCAAAUAAUAAGAAUAAGUAAUACAACGAUUUCUAACUCUAUUUAGAAUCAAAUCAGAGUAUGGUAUUUUCUUUAAUCAAUUAAUUGAAUUCAAAAUAUUCAAUUAAAAUAAAUUAAAUUGUAUAAAUUUUAUAAUUUUAAAUUAUUAUUUUUGUAUUAAUUUAAAACAAAAUAAAUAUUAUAUACAAUAAUUUAGUUGCAGCAUGUCAGCUUGAAGUCCAAGACCUUAUAACAUAUAAAUUUAAUAGAUAAUUAAUAACUAAAAAAUUAAAUAGCAAAAGCAUAAUUGCGCCACUUCUCACCAUUUUAGUGUAUGCAACUUAUUAUAUAUUUAUAUAUAUUAUCAUUUCAUUUUAAAUAAUUUAAUUUUUAUAUUAAUUUUUAUAAAUUUAGGGAUAAAUCUUAAAAUUAUACAUAAACUUUAAUUUAAUGUGUAAUUGCAUACAUAAACUUUAAUUUGGUACAAUUAUACACAUGAUACUCUAAUUGUGGUUCAAAUACAUACUUGAAACUUUAAUUUUGAUUUAAUCAUACACAUUUAAAUAAAUAAAUACAUCAAUUUAUUUUUAUAUUGGGUAAAUAUAUUUAUGUAUGCAAUAUAUAACAUAAAAUGAUGUUAUAUCAAUAAUUGUGUUAAUAAUUUUCAAGAAUUGGAUCAAAUCAAAAUUUCAUGUAUAAAAUUGCACAAAAUCAAAGUUCAUGUAUACAAUUGCACAUUAAACCAUAAUUCAUGUACAGUUUUAGUAUUUAUCCCAUAAUUUAUUAAAUAAACUUUUUACCUAUAUCAUAUAUAGAGUUGUCUGUGAACCGAGCCAAGGAAUGCCCGCUCGAAAAAAUGAGGGUUUAAGAAAAAAAAUAUGCCCAAAAAAAGGGCUUGGAUAAAAAGACAAGGCCCGUUUAGAAAAUGAAUCGGGCCUUUGCUAAGGUUUUUUUUGUCCAAGCUCAGCCCGACCCAAAUUUUCAAUAAAAAAACCCUACUGUUUUUACCGCUAUUUUUUCAUAUUUUGGUGUUGUUUUCUCACUUUUUGCCACUGGUUUACUAUCAUUUCACUAUUAUGUUACUACUAUUUUUUUUGUUAAUGUUUGGAUAUUGUAUAACACUUGUUUUAUUGUUAAUUUUGUCACUAUUUUAGAGGCAUUUGUUUGUUAUGUUGUACUUAUCUUAGUUUUUAUUUAAGUAUAAAAAAUUUUUAAAUUCUAUUUUCAAUUUAUUGGAAACAUGUAAUUUAAUAUUUGUAGUAUAUUUGGUGUAUUAUAAUAAUAUUUAUUAUUAAAAUAUUAAUAUUGAAUAUUUUCAAUAAUAUGUGAAGAAUAUUAUUUAAAAUUAUUUUUUAAAAUUUAUUAUUAAAUUAAAAUUGAAAUAUUAAAUAAUUUAUUAAAAUAAUUAAUUAUAUUAAUAAUUAAUUAUAUGACUAAAUAUAAAUAAUUAAAUAUGUAUGUUUAAUAAUAUUGAAAAAUAUAAUAUUUUAUAUUAAUAUUUUAAAUAUUUUUAAAAAUAAAAAUAAAAGUUAUUUUUAAUAUAAUAAUAUUAAGCUUGAUUUAAAUUAAUUUUUAUAUAAAAAUAAAAUUACCUAUAGAUGAGCUCAUUUUUUAGAAAAUGACUUACACUUUUCAAAAUGAUAAGUCAUUUUAUAGGAAAAAGAGCUAAUUUUACGUUGACCUAUAAGUCAUUUUCCGUUGACCAAACUGUUUUCUGUAAAACAAACAUAGAAAAAUGCAGAAAAUAGUUUCCGUAAAACUUUUUACAUGUAAACAAAUGGACCCUUAAUUCAAGCUUAUUCCAACAUAACCCACUUCACUAUUAGCAUGACUCUCCCUUAUACUAAAUUUAACCAUUAACCCUUCUCAUGAUUUCUAACAAAAAUUUUCAAGUUCUCUUUAAUGGCAACUUGUAUUAACUUCAACAAUAAGAAAUUCUAACUAUGGGGUUGGUUGUAUCAAGUUUCAUAGUUUAAAAAUCUAUAAAAAAAUUAUUGAGAAAAUAAUUUGUUUACCUUUGAUGGCCUUGAUGGAGAACAACUUGGUUUCUUCUUCUACUUAGUUUAAAGAAUGCAUGAAGAAGAAGAAGAUUUCCCCUCUCCCACUAUUUUAAAUAUAUAUAUAAAUAACCUAUUAAUCAAGGUAAUUAAGUCACUAAUUAACCUUAAUUAGUUAUGAUCUAAUGGCCAUAAACUUAUCAUGAGAAAAUUAGUGGAAAUGUGCGGCAUUGAUAAUGGUUUGCCAAUAAUCAAACUUUGGGCAUGGUAAUAUUGCAAUCAGGUUUUUGGUAUAAUUACACUUUUAAGUACUUGCUAAAUUCUGUAAUCAAUUCCCACUAGUUGGGUCACUUGAACAAUUGGGUCCAUGUACUAUAGUUACAACUUAUCCAAUUUAAUCAAUUAAUGAUUUGACUUUAUAAUUUCAUGUACAACACACAAACUCCUCUAGUAAAUUCUCGAGCUAGCUUUAUUUAAAAAUUUGGCCUCAAAAAUAGCUUUCCAAAUGUUCAUGAAAAUUGAGUCGUUACAUAUGGUAUUUGUUUUGUUCAGCUUAUUUGUCAGGCUCUAUAUCCUUUGAACUUAUGUUCGUUGACUUUGGUGUUGCUUAAAUGAAAAUGUGGUGAACAAUCUUAUGGAUAGGAGGAGUGUAUGAUUGAGUAUGUGUAACACCCUUAACCCACAUCCUUCGCCGAAUUAGAGUGACAGAGUGUUACUUGUAACACCCCAAACCCAGCCUAAACGUUAUGGUCGUAUCUGGCAAUGUCACACAAUAGUGUUUUUGAAACCUCGUUGUUACGUUGAAAACAUUUCAUGUUAUUAUCUUUAGUAAACAUUUGUUAGAACUUAGGAAGUCGUCUUUAUUCAUUUAAAACAUUUGUUUUGAAACAUCCCUCGUUGCGGAAGCUUUAAUAAAACAGUCUAAGUGAUCAUGCGUUUAGAAACUAUUUUAAUUUUUUGAAAACUGAAUUUCCUACGACCAACAGGUAUAAAUCCAUAAAGUAAAAUAAAUAAAUAAAAACCCAAAAUUUAAAACCAAAGUCCCAGAAGGUCCUUAAAUUACAACCCAAAUAAUCAAUAAUAAUUAAAUCAUAAAACGUAAAUUGAAAACCAUGAAGUCCAAAAAUUACUGUGGUCACCGCUGAGUCCUCCGUCGCACCGAUUCGUCUAAGUCUGGGGAUUACCUGUGCACGUUAAACAAAAAGGGUGAGUUUACGUAAAUUCAGUGUGUAGUCCCGCAGAAACAAAUAAACAAUCAGUAUUCACAGUGCACAGUUGAACAGUCUUGGGCCCAAGCCCAUCUCAGUACAAUGUCAAAAAUGCAGUAGCAGAAUCCUACCCAACCAACCUCCACACACUAUCUCCGCCCAACCCUACACUCCAUGUGGGGAUAUAAUCAACCCACCCAUCCCUACACUCCAAGUAGUACCGAAUGCGGCACAAAACAGUAGUUUGCAGCUGAGCUGCCAGUAAAUUAGGCUUAAAGCCUUUCAGUACACUUCCUCUGAAUAACAACCCCCAACCCGAUGCAAUGCAACAUACAAUAGAUGAUAUGCUAUUAUGCAAUUUCUGUACAUAUAUUUGGUUCAGAUAUUAACAUGCCCAGUAUAGAUAUCAUUCAGUCAAUUUCACACAUUUAGGGGUCUAAGUAGCGCUUACCGACCUUACAGUAGGUUCACAGUUGACUUGGGUGACCCGUACAACCUUAGAAACAUUCCGGUAAAAUUGGGCUACAUGCCCGUGUGUGCCCGUGUGGCCCACUCGGCCCAAUUUGGCCUUGGUCGUGUGAUCCAUUUUUAAUGUAACCCAUGCUAGCUAAAUAUUCAUAUAUGUUUUCACUAUUUACUUAUAUGUUCAUUUAAAGUUGUCUACUUGAGUCAUUGUCACUAAAUUAUUUAUACCUUGAGCUACAGAAUUCCAAAUUAAGAUCCGCUUGAUGUUUUCAAAACUAUACUCAAAUACCUUUCUACCAUAAAAUUUUCAAAUUUUAUAGUUUACCAAAUAAGUACAGUAAAAUCUUCAAAUUUAUCCCAAUUCUGCUAUUUGAUAGCUUCAACGUUUCCUUACUAAAAAUUAUUUAUCUCUUAGUACGGAAUUCGGAUGAUGUUUCCUUUGUUUCUCUUGAAAAUAGACUCGUUAAGGAUUUAAACAUAUAAAUUUAAGCCCCUAAUUAUUUUUUAAAAUUUUCGAUGAUUUUUCCAAAAUCAGAACAAGGAACCAAAACCCAUUCUAACAUUGUCUCACAAAAUUCAUUAUAUCUCAUAACUUAAAAUUUCAUUGCUUACACAGUUUCCUUCAUGAAAAACUAGACUCAAUAAAAUUUAAUAUCAUAUUUUAUUCAACCUCUAACUCAAUUUCCCCUAUUUUUGAUGAUUUUUCAAAGUUAGACUACUACUGCUGUCCAAAACUAUUUUAAUGCAGAAUGUUGAUUUCCAAGUUUAAAACACCCUUAUUUCCUUUCUCUACAAUUUUUUGCAUCAUUUUCUCUUAUUUCUCGUAUUUCUCGAUAGCAAGCAAUUUCAGCUUUUCGUUGAAUCCCAUUUUCUGCAUUUUGGGUACACACCUGGUAUCGUUUCUGAUGCGUAAGCACUCUUAAGCCUCCAGAACCUAAAAAUCGACCAAUAAAUCUCCAAAUUAAUCACUUAAUUCAUUUUUAAUCAACCAAUUUUGGAAGGAACUCGACUAAAAAAACCUAACAAAACCCUUACCUUGCUUCAGUAACCACGACUUCGCACAAUCAUAGUGUCGAUUCAAAACCACCAACCCCUUGAUUAACUCAUAAACACCAAAAAAGAAACCCCUUUUCAGAGAUUAACCAAGAACGAUUAACAAUAGAAAAAACUGUUACUUACCGAACACACGCAACCAACGAUGAACAACCAAAUCAAUUGGAAAAUAAUGAAAGAAAAGGAAGAGAAAAAAAUAAUGGAAAUUUCGGCAGCAACUAGGGGAAAGAAUCGGUAGAGGAGAGAAAAAAGAAGAAAAAAUCAGAAAAAGUUUGGGUAAUUGGAGAGAAAACCAAAACUCUACUUUUUUUUCUACAACAAAAAGAUAAUCAGAUUAUUUUCUGAUAACCUCUCCCCCAUUAUCUCCUAAAAUCACUCCUUAUUAACCCACUAAAACACAACUACUCAGAAUUUUACCCCAACACAACUCUUAGCCAAAAUUGGAGCAAAAAUACUGUCUCUACGCCAUCAUAGAGAAUUGAACAUAAGACCUCCUUCACACCAACACUCCAUUUAUCCACCAGACCAGCAAGCCCAUUCUGUUAAUUAUUUGUCAUCUUUUACUUAAAAGCCUACUGACCAAAGAUAGGGCUUAUUCAUAAAAAUACCAAAAUUUUCCCAAAACCUGGCUUGAACUUGGGACCUCUCACACACCCAAAACACUUAACCACUAAAGCAGAUACACAAUUGUGUCACACCUUCGUAAGAACAAAAAUAAAAAUUUUGGGACGUUACGUUACUAUACAAAAUAGAACAUUUCAUGACAACACAUAAAUAAUUAUGCAAAUUAUCACAAUCAUUAAUUAACCAUAUUAAAAUAUAACAUAAAUAUCCAUACGACCUUUAAAUCGAGCUUAUAUGUCCCUAAAAAUAGCUUGAGAUCAAUCUAGGAUCAAUUUUGAACAAAAACAUAAAUUUUAAAAAAACCCUAAAAAUUUUGGAAAACAUGGGUCACACAGCCGUGUGUCCAGGCCAUGUGACAUAGCCCAGACCUUGUGGGCAUUCAAAAUCAGGUAACGCAGUCAUGUCCCAGCCCGUAUGUCUACUUGUGUGAAUAUUCGAAAUAGGGUCUCACGGUCGUGUCGAGGAUCGUAUGCUAAACCGUGUGUAUAUUCAAAUUAUGGACACACGGCCGUGUCGCAGGCCAUGUGCUAGACCUUGCUCAAAACUAUUUUGAGACACACAGCUGUGUCUUAGACUGUGUGAAAUUUUCACUUUAAACAACAACACACAGCCGUAUCCUAAGCCGUGUGCACCAAAAUGUACCUUAAAAAUCAAAUUUACCAAAACAUGUUUACUUAGGCAUCAAGCAACCUAAUUACCAUCAAUUAAACUCAUUCAAAACACGAUUAAACAUGUUCAAAAUAUCCAUCCUAAGUUCCUAACCAUUGUGCCCUCAUUGACACCAUAAUUCAAUAAUCAAAUCAAUCACAUUUAAACCAAGAUUUAAACAUUCAAAUUAUAAAAUCACCAUUAACCAUUCAUACCAAAACACUACUCAUUUCAAGUCAUAAACACCUAGCAAUAUUCACAUACUUUAUAAAGCUUAACUACCAAUACCAAAUAAGAUCCAUACACACAUACAUACCAAACAAAACACAUAUUCACAAGUAUCAUUCAAGGUUUACAACUUUACAUGUAAUUAACAUGAUUUCAAGUCACUUAUUACAUGUCAUAUAACCCAAAACAAACAUUAAACAAACUACCAAUAGUUUCUCGAAUAGUUGAUUCUUGAUCUUGAUCUAUAAUAUAAUUUAUUUCAAUUAUUAGCCUCAAUUUUCAUAUUCUAAUCAUUUCAAUACAUAUGAUCUCUUGUUUACAAAUUUACAUAAUUACCCUAAAUUUUUACACAUUAUUCAAUUUAAUCCCUAUGACCAAAUCAAGCUUAGUUCUACAAUUAAAUUCUCAAUCCAUAGAACUAAAUUUUAACCACAUCCAAAACAAUUCAUAUAUGCUAAAAUUUUCAAGAGUAACAUGUCUAUUUCAAUUAAAUCACUAAACAUCAAAAUUUGUAAAAAUCACUUUACAAACUCAAUACAUAUCAUCACCAAGCUUCAACCCAAACUAUUUAAUAUUACAAAUCUUCAAAAUUUUCAAUACAUAAUUUCUAUACUUUGAUAACUUCACAAAUAAACUCCAAAACUAGCUAAAUUCCAUUAUCAAUAGCUCAAAACUUAAAUUUUAUGAUAAAUAAACCAAGAAAAUACUUACAUGCAUUAAAAACUAUCAAAAACCAAGCUCCCAAGCCUUAGAACAAAGGUGUUUCGGCCAAACCUAAGAAAAAUAAAGAAGAUGACCACUACCCCACUUUUGUUUUACUUUCUUUUUAUUAUUAUUAUAAUGUUUAUUUAUGAAAUUAUAACAUUAUCAAACACCAAUUUGAUAUUGUUUUUCUCUCUUUACCGCCCAUAUUAACUAACUAUGGGCUAAUGGCAACAUAACCCCCCUUAGUUUACUAAUUUAAGCUGUUAUAUUAAAAUAAAUCAAUAAUAAGCAACUUUUCCACCUAUUACAAAUUAAUCCUUUUUCUUUAAUCAAUUCACUAUACGUUAAAUUUUCUAAACCAAAACUUAAUAUAACACUGAUGACUUUGUAAAUAUUAAAUAAUUAAUAAUUUUAGAUUGACACGUCGAAAUUGUGGUCCUAAAAUCAUUAUUUUCAACACCACUAGAAAUCGGACUGUUAUAGUAUGGUUCUACCUCUUAGGGGGAGAUGUAUUCUAGUUUCCUUUCACUUGUUUAGAUGAUGUGUUAAUCAUUUGCUAUUGGUUUUGUCAAAAUGCCAAAUGGUGAGAUUGUUUGAACUUUGACUUCUUUUCUUAUUUCACUUCAUGUUCGAAGAGUAGAUUAAACCAUGCUUUGAUGCAUUCAAAGAAUUUAUGUUGGUAUAUUUGAUUUUAUAAUGAAAUGGCUUAUAGUUUAAUCUCGUUGAGUAGCAAAUGGGGAAGUGAUUUUGUAUUAUAACAUGUGAUGAUCAUUAUCUUUCAAUCAACUACCUUGGAAAAGAACGAGAGGAGUUUGAACUUUUGGGGACUUUCGUAAUAUUUGAAGCUGCUGAGAUAUUUGUUUAUAAAGACUUUUAUUUAUCAUUAAUCAAAAUAAUUCAUGAGAUAAUUUCAACCUUUAUAUUGGAGUUCUAAACUUAUGAAGACUCUAUUAUUGGCCUAUAAAUAGGCAUAAUUACCGCACAUUGAAAAUAGGCUUUUGGAGGGUUUGGAUACUUUGGUGAAUUUUUCAUUGGGCUAUAAAUAGGCAUAAUUACCGCACAUUGAAAAUAGGCUUUUGGAGGGUUUAAGUUGGAUACUUCAGUAAAUUUUUCUUGUGUUUUAUACCACACUCUUUUUAAGUUUUAUUGGAGAUAUUUAUUUGAUUGUAAGUGAGGUAUUUUGGAGAGAAUGAUUUAUAAUAAUUUAGGUUCAAUAUUAAAGUUGCAAAUAAUUACGGGUAAAAGUAAUUUGGACUGUAGUCAAUAGUUGAUCAAGACGAAUUGUAAAUUAAAAUUAUUUUCUAAGUAAAAUUCUACAAAAUAAAACUGGUAAAUUCAAACUGCGUUAAUAAAUAUUACAUAUUAUCUUUCCUUACUUUACUCGUUGCUUUACCUUAUUUUAAAAUUGUUUUGUUAUAAUCUAUUAUGUUUGAACCUUUUCGAUCGAAAUAAAAAAAAUGAGAUUGAAAUUGUGAUAAAGCUAAAAAAAGGUUACAACAAAUAUGAUUAAUAUUAUUUUUUAUAUAUACUUAAUAAAAGUUAAAAAGGGAAUUCCAUUUAUUGAAUAUUAUUUUAUUUAAUAAAAUAUAUUUUAUAUAUUUUAUAUAAAAUUUAAACAUUUUAUUGUUUGUUAGUUAAAUUUUAUUAUUUUUAUUUUCUUUAUGAAUAAAAAUAAUUUUCCUAAAAUAUGAGAUAAAAAAUGUUAUAGAGAAUUAAAUUAAUAAAAAGUACAGUUCAUACUUUAUAAUUAUUAUAAAUGAAAAAAUAUUAUGAAAAAAUAUUAAACAUAAAAAAUUAAUUCUAAAAUAAACUUAACUAUAAUAAAAUAAUUUUAUAUAAAAAAAGAAAUUAUAGAAAAGACUUAUUGAAUAUAUUUCCAAUUUUCGACAUUCAUAAAACAAAAAAUAAAAAAAGUGGUUCUAAUAAUUUAUUUAUACAAAAAAAAAAAAGUGGUCCUGACGUUCAUCCUUUCCCAUCUCUAUAAAUUUGCAUGCAGAACUAAAGCAACACAUAUCAACACAAUCUGUAUAACCAUGAAAACCACAACAGCUUCGGUGUUUCUUCUUUUCAUCAUCUUCUCAAUCACACCAUCGUCCUUUUCGUUUGGUGUGGCCAACUCUACAAACGCUCCUGUGCUCGACAGUGAUGGCAACGAGCUCCGCACGGGCACCCCAUACUUCGUUGUGUCGUCGAUAUGGGGUGCUGGUGGUGGGGGGCUUGCCCUAGGCAUGCCUAGCGGAAACCCAUGCCCGGAAGUCGUUGCUCAAAGAGGAUCCGGUGACGAUGGUAUUCCGGUGAUAUUUUCUAAUUCGGACUCCAACGAUGGCGUUGUUCGCCUAUCCUCUGACAUAAACAUAGAGUUCAUUCCCCUCAGACCCAAACUUUGCCGAACAACAACGGUGUGGAAGGUCGAUGAUUACGACCACUCAGCCGGAAAAUGGUGGGUGAUAACCGAUGGGGUUAAAGGGAACCCGGGUGCCAACACUUUGACCAGUUGGUUUAGAAUAGAGAAGUUGGGUGAUCUUGAUUACACAUUUAAGUACUGCCCCGCAGUAUGUGGAACAUGCCCAGCUUUAUGCAACGAAAUUGUGAGAGACUCAGAUGGAGAAAUGAUACGUUUGGCUCUCUCCAAUGGCCAUGGAUGGCAAUUUUACUUUAAGAAAGUUGAAACAUCAGCCAUGGAGAUUCAACAAGUUCAUAAUUAGAUUGAAAGCAAUCAUUAUGCAUGAACUAGUAGUUACUAUACAUUAUUACCUUCAAGUAAAUAAUGCCGAGAGAACUGAUUGUUAAUUAAGAUUGCCUUGUUUGAAGCAGCAGCAUGAAUAUAUAUAUAUGCUUGCUUACAAGGUUUGUCUCUCAGAGUCCUUCUCUUUGUACUCUUUCCAGCUUAAUGUAUAAACUGUCUACUUAUUUACUUCUUUUAUCGCCAUUGAUUCUAGUAGUAUUAGACUCAUUAACUUGGAUACAUUGUCUUGUAAUUAACCCAAAAAUUAUAUAUAUAUAAAAAAAGAGUGAGAGAGGAAAAUAGACUACCAAGUAACAAGCGAAAAACGGUAAUACUAGGGUUAUUUAGAGUGGUUUCAAUGCACAACGGGAAUGAAUUGUCGUUGGUUGGGUGGUUAGGGCACCUUACUUAUCUUUAGAGCUAAAGAAGGUUUCGUAACUACUCUUUCAAUAAUAUUAUUUUUAAGGUUCGAACCUGCAUUAUCCUUUGAACACGUAAUAUGUUUUAUCAUUACGCUCAACAUUAUUAAUGAUUUACUUUAUUCUAUUCUUAAUUAAUAAUUAUGAUAUAUAUUAAGUUUAAGAUGAAUUUUCUUAUUCAUGUAUAUCAAUUAAAUCAAAUAUUUGUAUUUAAAGUUUUAACCCAACAUUAACUUCUUCUUUUUUUUAUUUCUUUCUUUGUUGGUGAUGAUUAGGAGAUUGAUGGCCGGUCUUUGUGGUUGGUAGCUUUUAACACAAUGGCAAAGCCAAGGAGGCUUUAAAUGUUUAAAUGGAUUUUUUUUUCAUUUAAACUUCUUUAUAAUUUAUAAAAUUUUAAAUUAAUAAUGAUAAAAUUACAUUUUAAUCUUUUAAAAAUAAUAAAAAUGUGGAAGCACAUUUGUACGAUUAAUAAUAAUGAUAAGAUUUUUCCCACCACAUGGAAAUUUAUGGAAACGUCAUUGGGUUUUGUAUUUAUGUUUUAUUUGACACUCUUUUAAGUUUUAUUGGGAAGAUUUGCUUGAUUGUAAGUGAGGUAUUUUGGAGAGAAUGAUUUGUAACAAUUUAGAUUCAAUAUUCGAGUUGCAAAUAAAUAUAGAGUAAAGUAAUUUGGGCUUAGUGAAUUAUAGAAUAAAAUCAUAUUCUAAACAAAAUUUUAUAAAAUAAAAUUAAUGAAUCCUAACUAAGUUAACAAAUAUUUCUUCACUCUAGGCAUUGCUUCACCUUAUCUCAAAAUUGUUCUGUAAUAAUCUAUUUUGUCUCGACCUUUCCAACAGAAUUUAAAAUGAAACUAUUUCUGAUAAGUGCAGGCCAAAAACUUUUUCGCGUACCAAUAAAUGGCAAGCGACCAUACUGUGGGCCCAAUGUCCCAACAAUCAUCUAAACAUUUUUUUUAAUAAUAUGUAAUAAUUUAUAUACCAUAUAUGAAUAUUAAUUAAAAUAAUAUAAUAUGGACCCAAAUUGUUUCAUAUUUGAAAUCCAAUUUUUGAUAAUUUCACAUUUCAUAUUUUAUCUUAGAACAAAAAAAAUAUAUUUGAACUUAAUAUUUGGCCUAUUAAUCAAUGGUGUUUACUAUAUUUUAAGACUAUCGAAUUAAUCUAUCGACACUACUUGUAUGGUAUAAUUUAAAUGGGUGUGUGUGGGUAUAUAAAUUUGAAAUUCUAUUGUAUCAAAGAAAAAUUUAGAAAAAAAUAAAAAAAAAAAAGAAUUUGCAAUUUAUAAUUUGAGAUAAAAAUAAAAAAAUGAGAUUUGUGAUAAACCAUAAAUUAAGCUCAAAAAAAGUUACAACAAAUAUGGUUAAUGUUAUUUAUAUAUAUACUUAAUAAAAGUAAAAAUAUCGAAAUUCCAAUAUUAUUUUUAUUUAAUAAAAUAUAAUUAAUAUAUUUUAUAUAAAAUUUAAAUAUUUUAUUGAAAUAUUAUGUUAGGUAAAUUUAUAAAUAAAAUUAAUUUUACUAAAAUUUGAGAUAAGAGAAUUAAAUUAAUAAAAGGCAUAUUUCAUAUUUUAUAGUUAUUAUUAAUAAAAAAUUAUUAUAAAAAUAAAAAAUCAAUUCUACAACAUAAUGAAAUAUUUUUAUUAAAAAAACCAGAAAUGAUUGAUGGAAUAUAUUUCCAAUUUUCGACGUUCAUAAAAAAAAAAAGAGUGGUCCUAAUAAUUUAUUUAUUGGGAAAAAAAAAGUGGUCCUAUUAAUUUACCUCACAUUUGAAAUGUGUUAUAUGUAAUAAUAAUAAUAUCUAUAUAAAUUUUGGACGUUGAUCCUUUCCCAUCUCUAUAAAUUCGCAUGGAGAACUAAAGCAACACAUAUCAACACAAUUUAUAUAACCAUGAAAACCACAACAGCUUCGGUGUUUCUUCUUUUCAUCAUCUUCUCAGUCGCACUAUCGUCCUUUUUGUUUGGUGUAGCCAACGCUACAAACGACCCUGUGCUCGACAUUGAUGGCAACGAGGUUCAAACUGGCACCCCAUACUACGUUGUGUCGUCGAUAUGGGGUGCUGGUGGUGGGGGGCUUGCCCUAGGUAGGCCUAGAGGAAAGCCAUGCCCGGAAGUCGUUACUCAAAGACGAUCCGGUGACGAUGGUAUUCCGGUGAUAUUUUCUAAUUCGGACUCCAACGAUGGCAUUGUUCGCCUAUCCUCUGACAUAAACAUAGAGUUCAUUCCCCUCAGACCCAAACUUUGCCGAACAACAACGGUGUGGAAGGUCGAUGAUUACGACCAUUCAGCCGGAAAAUGGUGGGUGAUAACCGAUGGAGUUAAAGGGAACCCGGGUGCCAAC